GAGCAUGAGCUGAGUCAUAUUUAAGUAAGGAGCAUGAGCUGUAAGUCUAAUAUGUAAUAUAAUACACGAAGCACAACUAUUGAACUAGGCUGUCUAGGAAAUGUCAGAUGGUUAUAAGCCUAGCCAAGCAAAACAAACUUUAGUCUAAGCUCUUUCAAUUCCUUAAGUCAUCCGUUUAUACCAAGUUUUAUACACAAAUCUCUUAAGCUUUUUUUUUUUUUUGCUAGAUAAUCUCUUAAGUAAUACCUUCUUCUAAGCAUCAAACGUUUUACCAAGUUUGAAGAAUUUACUAAGCAAAUGAGUUUAAACUGAAAUUAAAGAAGGAACCUUGCAAAGUAAUUGCAAAGGAAAAAGUUAAAUCACACCAUUGAAGUGAAUUCAAGCUAACAACCAAGAAAGGUACCAAACUUACUUUUUCUUUUGUUUAUAAUGAGAAAUUUAUUGUUAAUUUUUGAAGUUGGUUGUGAAAUUGGUGGUGGGAGGAUUGGAAAUUAUGGGAACAAUGAUGGGUUCAGUUGGUAUAAGGAGAUGGCAUGUUAUGUCUCUAAAUUUUAUGAAAUCUAAGCUUUUGAAACUGUGUAUGCUAUGUGUUUGACAAAAUGACUCAGUGAGGUCAUGUUUCUAAGUGUGUGAACUGUGGAGUGAUCAUGAUUUGAUUAUUUCUCUCCCUGUUUUGUGGAUUCUGUAAAGGGCGUAUAAUAUAAACAUAAUUAUCA
RNAcentral lists this long non-coding RNA (716 nucleotides) under Panax ginseng (ginseng). RNAcentral describes it as "long non-coding RNA (PGIN_LNC013969)". Lineage: Eukaryota; Viridiplantae; Streptophyta; Magnoliopsida; Apiales; Araliaceae. The record is from RNAcentral.